This 279-nucleotide ribosomal RNA is filed under the name uncultured bacterium. RNAcentral's name for it is "partial 16S ribosomal RNA". It matches the Rfam family "Bacterial small subunit ribosomal RNA", at positions 506 to 784 of the family's 1533-position model. The record is from RNAcentral.
UGCCAGCAGCCGCGGUCAUACGAAGGGACCUAGCGUAGUUCGGAGUUACUGGGCUUAAAGAGUUCGUAGGUGGUUGAAAAAGUUAGUGGUGAAAUCCCAGAGCUUAACUCUGGAACUGCCAUUAAAGCUUUUCAGCUAGAGUAUGAUAGAGGUAAGUGGAAUUUCUAGUGUAGAGGUGAAAUUCGUAGAUAUUAGAAAGAAUACCAAUUGCGAAGGCAGCUUUCUGGAUCAUUACUGACACUGAGGAACGAAAGCAUGGGUAGCGAAGAGGAUUAGAUA